This 254-nucleotide ribosomal RNA is filed under the name uncultured bacterium. RNAcentral describes it as "partial 16S ribosomal RNA". It matches the Rfam family "Bacterial small subunit ribosomal RNA", at positions 524 to 776 of the family's 1533-position model. The record is from RNAcentral.
UACGUAGGGUGCAAGCGUUGUCCGGAAUUAUUGGGCGUAAAGAGCUCGUAGGCGGUUUGUUGCGUCGGCUGUGAAAUCCCGAGGCUCAACCUCGGGUCUGCAGUCGAUACGAGCAAACUAGAGUGUUGCAGGGGAGACUGGAAUUCCUGGUGUAGCGGUGAAAUGCGCAGAUAUCAGGAGGAACACCGGUGGCGAAGGCGGUGGUCUGGGCCGGCACUGACGCUGGAGGAGCGAAAGCGUGGGUAGCAAACAGG